ACGAGUGAGCAAAGUCACUUUCCCUUCGGGGCAUUGGAGACAGGUGGUGCAUGGUUGUCGUCAGCUCGUGUCGUGAGAUGUUGGGUUAAGUCCCGCAACGAGCGCAACCCCUAUUUCCAGUAGCCAGCAAGAAAGAUGGGAACUCUGGAGAGACUGCCCGGGAUAACUGGGAGGAAGGCGGGGAUGACGUCAAAUCAUCAUGCCCCUUAUGAUCAGGGCUACACACGUGCUACAAUGGCGUAAACAAAGGGAAGCGAAGUGGUGACACGAAGCAAAUCCGAAAAACAACGUCUCAGUUCGGAUUGUAGUCUGCAACUCGACUACAUGAAGCUGGAAUCGCUAGUAAUCGCGAAUCAGAAUGUCGCGGUGAAUACGUUCCCGGGUCUUGUACACACCGCCCGUCACACCAUGGGAGUCGGAAAUGCCCGAAGUCAGUGACCCAACCGAGAGGAGGGAGCUGCCGAAGGUGGAGCCGGUAACUGGGGUGAAGUCGUAACAAGGUAGCCGUAUCGGAAGGUGCGGCUG
This 525-nucleotide ribosomal RNA is filed under the name uncultured bacterium. RNAcentral describes it as "bacterial SSU rRNA". It matches the Rfam family "Bacterial small subunit ribosomal RNA", at positions 994 to 1520 of the family's 1533-position model. The record is from RNAcentral.